RNAcentral lists this ribosomal RNA (429 nucleotides) under Chloroflexota bacterium. RNAcentral describes it as "Chloroflexi bacterium partial 16S ribosomal RNA". It matches the Rfam family "Bacterial small subunit ribosomal RNA", at positions 355 to 776 of the family's 1533-position model. The record is from RNAcentral. Lineage: Bacteria; Bacillati; Chloroflexota.
UGGGGAAUAUUGCACAAUGGGCGCAAGCCUGAUGCAGCCAUGCCGCGUGUGUGAAGAAGGCCUUCGGGUUGUAAAGCACUUUCAGCGGGGAGGAAGGCGUUAAGGUUAAUAACCUUGGCGACUGACGUUACCCGCAGAAGAAGCACCGGCUAACUCCGUGCCAGCAGCCGCGGUAAUACGGAGGGUGCAAGCGUUAAUCGGAAUUACUGGGCGUAAAGCGCACGCAGGCGGUCUGUCAAGUCGGAUGUGAAAUCCCCGGGCUCAACCUGGGAACUACAUUCGAAACGGGCAGGCUAGAGUCUUGUAGAGGGGGGUAGAAUUCCAGGUGUAGCGGUGAAAUGCGUAGAGAUCUGGAGGAAGACCGGUGGCGAAGGCGGCCCCCUGGACAAAGACUGACGCUCAGGUGCGAAAGCGUGGGGAGCAAACAGG